AGAGUUUGAUCAUGGCUCAGGACGAACGCUGGCGGCGCGCCUAACACAUGCAAGUCGAACGGAGCUGAGAGGAGCUUGCUUUUCUUAGCUUAGUGGCGAACGGGUGAGUAACGCGUGAGUAACCUGCCCUGGAGUGGGGGACAACAGUUGGAAACGACUGCUAAUACCGCAUAAGCCCACGGCCCGGCAUCGGGCUGAGGGAAAAGGAUUUAUUCGCUUCAGGAUGGACUCGCGUCCAAUUAGCUAGUUGGUGAGGUAACGGCCACCAAGGCGACGAUUGGUAGCCGGACUGAGAGGUUGAACGGCCACAUUGGGACUGAGACACGGCCCAGACUCCUACGGAGGCA
Molecule: ribosomal RNA, 347 nt
Filed under: uncultured bacterium
Lineage: Bacteria
Description: bacterial SSU rRNA
Rfam family: Bacterial small subunit ribosomal RNA
Source: RNAcentral